UUUCCUUUUAAACUCAUCAGUAAACGAGUAUCUGUUCUUAUCAGCUUAAUAUGUGAUACGAUCCCCAUGUCGGAUCCUCGAUAUUAAACUGAUUUUUGUAACAUGGCAAAGUGCUAGGAGCUUGCUCCACCUUUGCCGCGGAUCGGCCCGGUAUUGCAGAAAACUAGCGAUUAGUACCUUCAUG
Procambarus clarkii (red swamp crayfish) is the source of this 184-nucleotide small nuclear RNA. RefSeq annotates it as U2 spliceosomal RNA. NCBI's taxonomy places the organism in Eukaryota, Metazoa, Arthropoda, Malacostraca, Decapoda, Cambaridae. The record is from RefSeq and is a predicted model, not a curated record.